Molecule: ribosomal RNA, 229 nt
Filed under: uncultured bacterium
Lineage: Bacteria
Description: partial 16S ribosomal RNA
Rfam family: Bacterial small subunit ribosomal RNA
Source: RNAcentral
CAUGUGGAUUAAUUCGGUGCAACGCGAAGAACCUUACCUGGGUUUGACAUGCACAGGACGCUGGUAGAGAUAUCAGUUCCCUUGUGGCCUGUGUGCAGGUGGUGCAUGGCUGUCGUCAGCUCGUGUCGUGAGUUGUUGGGUUAAGUCCCGCAACGAGCGCAACCCCUAUCUUAUGUUGCCAGCGCGUCAUGGCGGGGACUCGUAAGAGACUGCCGGGGUCAACUCGGAG